GAUGAACGCUGGCGGCGUGCCUAAUACAUGCAAGUCGAGCGAACGGACGAGAAGCUUGCUUUUCUGAUGUUAGCGGCGGACGGGUGAGUAACACGUGGAUAACCUACCUAUAAGACUGGGAUAACUUCGGGAAACCGGAGCUAAUACCGGAUAAUAUUUUGAACCGCAUGGUUCAAAAGUGAAAGACGGUCUUGCUGUCACUUAUAGAUGGAUCCGCGCUGCAUUAGCUAGUUGGUAAGGUAACGGCUUACCAAGGCAACGAUGCGUAGCCGACCUGAGAGGGUGAUCGGCCACACUGGAACUGAGACACGGUCCAGACUCCUACGGGAGGCAGCAGUAGGGAAUCUUCCGCAAUGGGCGAAAGCCUGACGGAGCAACGCCGCGUGAGUGAUGAAGGUCUUCGGAUCGUAAAACUCUGUUAUUAGGGAAGAACAUAUGUGUAAGUAACUGUGCACAUCUUGACGGUACCUAAUCAGAAAGCCACGGCUAACUACGUGCCAGCAGCCGCGGUAAUACGUAGGUGGCAAGCGUUAUCCGGAAUUAUUGGGCGUAAAGCGCGCGUAGGCGGUUUUUUAAGUCUGAUGUGAAAGCCCACGGCUCAACCGUGGAGGGUCAUUGGAAACUGGAAAACUUGAGUGCAGAAGAGGAAAGUGGAAUUCCAUGUGUAGCGGUGAAAUGCGCAGAGAUGUGGAGGAACACCAGUGGCGAAGGCGACUUUCUGGUCUGUAACUGACGCUGAUGUGCGAAAGCGUGGGGAUCAAACAGGAUUAGGUACCCUGGUAGUCCACGCCGUAAACGAUGAGUGCUAAGUGUUAGGGGGUUUCCGCCCCUUAGUGCUGCAGCUAACGCAUUAAGCACUCCGCCUGGGGAGUACGACCGCAAGGUUGAAACUCAAAGGAAUUGACGGGGGCCCGCACAAGCGGUGGAGCAUGUGGUUUAAUUCGAAGCAACGCGAAGAACCUUACCAAAUCUUGACAUCCUUUGACAACUCUAGAGAUAGAGCCUUCCCCUUCGGGGGACAAAGUGACAGGUGGUGCAUGGUUGUCGUCAGCUCGUGUCGUGAGAUGUUGGGUUAAGUCCCGCAACGAGCGCAACCCUUAAGCUUAGUUGCCAUCAUUAAGUUGGGCACUCUAAGUUGACUGCCGGUGACAAACCGGAGGAAGGUGGGGAUGACGUCAAAUCAUCAUGCCCCUUAUGAUUUGGGCUACACACGUGCUACAAUGGACAAUACAAAGGGCAGCGAAACCGCGAGGUCAAGCAAAUCCCAUAAAGUUGUUCUCAGUUCGGAUUGUAGUCUGCAACUCGACUACAUGAAGCUGGAAUCGCUAGUAAUCGUAGAUCAGCAUGCUACGGUGAAUACGUUCCCGGGUCU
Molecule: ribosomal RNA, 1372 nt
Filed under: uncultured bacterium
Lineage: Bacteria
Description: bacterial SSU rRNA
Rfam family: Bacterial small subunit ribosomal RNA
Source: RNAcentral